UCAGUUUAACCAGACCUACUAUGUCAGGUCAGAGCCAGCCGGAGCCUCAGUAGAGAGUGUAGAAGCCUCCGACACCCCACGUCUCAGAAACCUACGAAAGAUUGGAGACUUGUCGCACAUCUGGAAAGAUUAGUUUAAUCUAGAUAGUAAAAGAAGGAAUCGAAAGGCGUGCUAGGAGUUUCAGCCAGUAAACCAUGCCAGGGACUGUACUCUUCAAAGCAGUGAUGGGGCAUGAUCAGGAUGUGUCUCUGAGCACGAAGACCCUUCUUCUUGUCUUCUUAGGAUGGCGAGAAGUAUUCUUCCUCAGGCUAGCAGGAUUAUUUUUCCCCACCAUAACUCACUAGCACAUGGUUCCUAAGUUUUGACAUUAACUCUGGCGGUUUGGAAAUGUGCCUGGAUCAUUAUACUGAAGGCUCCUCUUAUUUAUGUAACCUUUCAGAGUUCACAGAGGGCUACACACAGCACCUCAUGAAUAAAGGCAUCAUUAUCUCC
Molecule: long non-coding RNA, 492 nt
Filed under: Mus caroli (Ryukyu mouse)
Lineage: Eukaryota; Metazoa; Chordata; Mammalia; Rodentia; Muridae
Description: lncRNA (MGP_CAROLIEiJ_G0006088.1)
Source: RNAcentral